RNAcentral lists this ribosomal RNA (254 nucleotides) under uncultured bacterium. RNAcentral describes it as "partial 16S ribosomal RNA". It matches the Rfam family "Bacterial small subunit ribosomal RNA", at positions 524 to 776 of the family's 1533-position model. The record is from RNAcentral.
UACGUAGGGUGCAAGCGUUAAUCGGAAUUACUGGGCGUAAAGCGUGCGCAGGCGGUUCUAUAAGACAGAUGUGAAAUCCCCGGGCUCAACCUGGGGAACUGCAUUUGUGACUGUAGAGCUGGAGUACGGCAGAGGGGGAUGGAAUUCCGCGUGUAGCAGUGAAAUGCGUAGAUAUGCGGAGGAACACCGAUGGCGAAGGCAAUCCCCUGGGCCUGUACUGACGCUCAUGCACGAAAGCGUGGGGAGCAAACGGG